GGGUAACCGGAGAGCCGUGAGUCUAAUUGACUAGGUGUGAUUUUGGAUUGGAUAGUGUGGGUUUUGUGAGGAACUGUUUGAAGGGAUAUCCCUGAGCAGGUCCUAGCAAACUUAGUAGAUAGAUUCGAAGUGGAAAGGAAGUCGUGUGUUGUGAAUAGCGAUUAGUGAACAGCGGAGGGCAGCAAUACGCCAUAGAUGCGUCUAGUCUGCCGGAAAUAAAAAGAAGAAGAAGAAGAUCCCCG
Molecule: long non-coding RNA, 242 nt
Organism: Sander lucioperca (pikeperch)
Lineage: Eukaryota; Metazoa; Chordata; Actinopteri; Perciformes; Percidae
Exons: 3
Source: RefSeq, a predicted model, not a curated record